Molecule: ribosomal RNA, 393 nt
Filed under: uncultured bacterium
Lineage: Bacteria
Description: partial 16S ribosomal RNA
Rfam family: Bacterial small subunit ribosomal RNA
Source: RNAcentral
AUACGGAAGGUCCGGGCGUUAUCCGGAUUUAUUGGGUUUAAAGGGAGCGCAGGCGGAGAUGCAAGCGUGACGUCAAAUUUCGGGGCUCAACCCCGUCUCGCGUCGCGAACUGCGUCCCUUGGUUGCGGGAAGGGGAGGCGGAACUCGUGGUGUAGCGGUGAAAUGCAUAGAUAUCACGAAGAACUCCGAUCGCGAAGGCAGCCUUCCGGCCCGUCAACGACGCUCAUGCUCGAAGGUGCGGGUAUCAAACAGGAUUAGAUACCCUGGUAGUCCGCACAGUAUACGAUGGACACCCGCGGUUUGGCCUGUAUGGCUGAGCCGCCAAGCGAAAGCGUUAAGUGUCCCACCUGGGGAGUACGCCGGCAACGGUGAAACUCAAAUGAAUUGACGGGG